GUCAAGCUAACCAUUGAUUUUAUGGAAACACAAUUUUGUGGUUGAAGUAGAGAUUCACCUUAGGCGUUCACAAGUCUCACGGACACCAUGAAUUCAUGCUCAAUGAAGACUUUUUCAAACACUGAAUAGGGGGUUCCUUCAACAAUGAAGGUAAGCUUCUAUUCUUCACCUAUUCACUGUCCGACCAUCUUUGACACAUUUGGAUUAUGGCUAAGCUAUCAUCUUUAACAGGUUGAGCUCUGAGGAGAUGAUACCACUAUCAAAGGAAUCAGACCCAACAACUUUGCAUUAACCAAACUGUGUAACAAC
Molecule: long non-coding RNA, 309 nt
Filed under: Solanum tuberosum (potato)
Lineage: Eukaryota; Viridiplantae; Streptophyta; Magnoliopsida; Solanales; Solanaceae
Description: long non-coding RNA (STUB_LNC006122)
Source: RNAcentral